Small nucleolar RNA from Cavia porcellus (domestic guinea pig), 71 nucleotides. Ensembl annotates it as small nucleolar RNA SNORD110. Its record names the gene SNORD110. NCBI's taxonomy places the organism in Eukaryota, Metazoa, Chordata, Mammalia, Rodentia, Caviidae. The record is from Ensembl.
UUGCAGUGAUGACUUGAGAAAUCUGUCAAUCCCCUGAAUGUAAUCACUGAUGUCUCCAUGUCUCUGAGCAA